This is a long non-coding RNA of Triticum aestivum (bread wheat), 2940 nucleotides long. RefSeq lists it as uncharacterized. The record is from RefSeq and is a predicted model, not a curated record. The transcript is spliced from 7 exons. Lineage: Eukaryota; Viridiplantae; Streptophyta; Magnoliopsida; Poales; Poaceae.
CCGCACCCGCGCCUCCCACGAACCCUAGCCUCCUGGCCGCCACCCCUUCCUUCCCCGUCUGCCUCCCCCCGCCCGCGCGCCGCGAGCCCCUCCCUCCUCUUCGCGUUCCGGGUGGCGAUAGUCGGGGUCAACGAGGAGAUGCACGCGGGCGGCGGCCAUGGUCGACUCCAUGAGCGGGACCACCGCCGUCGCGGCGCUCAUGGCCGGCGGCGCACUCCACGGGGCUCGGGACGUCCGCGGCGGCGCGGGCUGUGGACCGAGAGGCGGGGCCCGUGAUGCGUUCCGUUCGAGGGGCUGGUCGGGCUGGCGCGGGAUCUGAGCCACCGUCGAUGGAUUUCUCGCAGCUUGGCUCCUGUUGCUUUGGAUCCGGUACGAUCCCCAUCUCUCUCUCUGCGAGACUCAACCAGGCACUCACAGGAAUGCCAUAUCCUGAAAAGUAAGAAGUCCAUGCCCUUCUAAGGCAGGACCCAGAUUUCUUGAAUAUAGGCCCUUAUCUGAAGUGAUGAUUCGAGCAGCAAUGGAUGAUGUGUGCUUCCUUCUCAAUAUACAAGAGAAAAUGAUGGAGAAGUUGAGCAAAGUAUCUUCAUGGCGUCUGUCAGUACAAAGUGAGCUAUACUGUAGGUGUUUUGCAUAAAUGACAACCAACAUGAAGAUUGGCCGCCUCUUCCAGCUGUCCUUGUUUUGUUUUACUUUUCAAGGAUGAGUAUCUUUACUUUGAAAAUGAACUCGUCAUAUUUCUAUUGGAAAUGAAGUGAUGUUUCUUCCCAGUUGUCGGCCGGCCCCGAUGGAGCUAUGUCAGGAGGAGGCCCCCAGCGGCGUGCUCGCACACGCGUUCCACGGCGACCACAUCACCAGCGCCCCUGCCAUCCUCCUCCAAGCCCAUGGCUAGUGGCUCCCCAAGGCCAAGCUAUGUCAGGCUGCAGCAGCAAGGUGAGCCCCAUCACUCUGUGUUUAUUUCUUCAGAUCAUGCAGCAGCAAUGUGACUGAGGAAUCGAUGCUUUACAUAAUUGAUCAGUUAACUGGUAAUAUAUCUAUAGAAUAGGCAAGCAAAAAACAUUGCGUUUCCUAGAUGUUCCAUACGAUAUUAAAGUUGGGACUAGGCUAAUAGACAAACUGUAUAUCCGAUUAUGCUAGAAAAAGUAGAAUAAAAAGUUUACUUUUAUGAUGGUAGGAUGUCUUCCUUAGUUUUGUUUCCGAUGUUCUCUCUCAAAAAAGAAAUCUGGGAUACACCAUCAGUAUCAACACCGGUAAAAAGAAUCCAAUCAAAACAUGAUGUUUUUCCCUUGGCUAUAUGUUUAUUUGAAGGAAACCAUUCAAUUCUCAGUGAUCUUUCUUUAUGCUCCUUAUUGCCAUUUUUCCUAAUGCGCCUAUAGAAGUGAUUUAUCAGGUGUUUUGGUAUAUUAUCUUAUAUAAGGGAGUGCCAAAGUUUUUUGGAUUGUGAAUUAUCUGGUCAGAAUCGGUUGUUUUUCCCCUUGUGUUCAUUUAUUUCUCAGAUUGCAGAACUGACGAGUGUAGACUAAGUUGAUGAUCUACAUGUGUUGCUCCUCUCCCCUGAUGUGUACUGCAACUAUAAAUAGGGAGAGAAUUGCGUGAGGAGAGCUCUCUUGCUAUUGUUCUGAGCUCACUCUUUGACUAAUCUAAAUGCUCUCUCUGCUCACCGAUCGAUCAAGGAAGGCACUGUAAUAUCAGCAAGGACCAACACAAAAAGAAGGGAGAAUAAACGGGACCAAUUAAGUUACUUCUGUGUAAGAGUACACUACUUUUGACUUUGGAGUCACACUGGUGAAUGGGGCGUCGCAUGGUCUAUGCUGGAGGUGUUCACAUAUAACAAGUUCACUAUUUGUUCCAUUCGUUAGGGAAAACGCUUCCUUCCAACCGACUGAUUUCUCGCUCGCGUAAAUCUCCUCGCGCAUCGUCCGAUCGCGAGAGAUCCGACGGACCCGGUGUAGCGCACGACGCGAGCUAACAAGGACGCGUCUAUUGGCUCGGGUUGUCUCACCCGCACCCCCUUUCCUCACACCUACCUGCAUUGCAACAUUUUUCCCCUUUUCGGUUCGUUCCUCUCGCCCAAGCUCGCUCCAAAUUUCCGAUGCGACGGUCAUCGCGGCGUCCAGCUCCCGGGGCGGCGAAGCUGACGUGAGGUUGACGUGGGGAGGCGCGCGAGGAGGUCCGCGAGGAGGCGGCUGAAGACAUGGACGGCGACAAUCUGCAGGACAGCUAGCCGUUUGCGUGAGGUUGCAGACAAGGAGCUGAAUGCUAACAAGAGGGCAGUGCUAGAGAAGUUGAGUUUUGGUUCGUUGUUGAAGAUCAGACCAUUUUCUGUACCUCUUGAGCUGAUUGACUGGGUAGUUAUGAGAAUUGACACUAAGCAUUCUUUGUUCAGCCGUAAAAAGAAGACUAUUGUUCACUAGAGACAUGGUGCACAAAAUUUUUAAUGUCCCAUCCGGACCAAGGGUAGUGGAGCUGCUGAAGAGGAACGAACGUUGCGAGCUGCGCGACAUAUAUCGAGAAGGCACAAGGGCUCCAAUGAAGAAAUCCAUUUCUGUAAUCAAGAAAGCAUCGGAUAAUGAUGUUGUUACUUUAGAGAGGACUUGGGUUCUUUUAUGCCUUGCUCUCGUGCUAGUUCCUGGCACCGGCAACAUGGUCUUGUUGGACUACCUUGCUAGCUUGAAGGACUUGGAUGAACUGAAUGAGUUUGCGUGGGACGAGCAUGUGUUGGCAACUGCGUUGAGGGAGGCGGGGAAUUACCAACUAAAGAGGGAGGCUGGGGCAAGUGGCUUUUGGAUAGGCGGCUGUCUACCUAUGUUCGUGGUAUGCCAAACGCAAAUCAUUUUGUCUAUGUUUUCAUUGAUUCAUAUUUUUGCUUUAUUUUAUUUUAUUUUAUUCUGCUCGCAACAAUCAUAUGUACGAUACAACCUUCUGAUUUGUUUUCUUUUUCAA